This 1054-nucleotide ribosomal RNA is filed under the name Bacillus sp. (in: firmicutes). RNAcentral's name for it is "bacterial SSU rRNA". It matches the Rfam family "Bacterial small subunit ribosomal RNA", at positions 78 to 1108 of the family's 1533-position model. The record is from RNAcentral. Lineage: Bacteria; Bacillati; Bacillota; Bacilli; Caryophanales; Bacillaceae.
GCUUGCUCCCGGAUGUUAGCGGCGGACGGGUGAGUAACACGUGGGUAACCUGCCUGUAAGACUGGGAUAACUCCGGGAAACCGGAGCUAAUACCGGAUAGUUCCUUGAACCGCAUGGUUCAAGGAUGAAAGACGGUUUCGGCUGUCACUUACAGAUGGACCCGCGGCGCAUUAGCUAGUUGGUGGGGUAAUGGCUCACCAAGGCGACGAUGCGUAGCCGACCUGAGAGGGUGAUCGGCCACACUGGGACUGAGACACGGCCCAGACUCCUACGGGAGGCAGCAGUAGGGAAUCUUCCGCAAUGGACGAAAGUCUGACGGAGCAACGCCGCGUGAGUGAUGAAGGUUUUCGGAUCGUAAAGCUCUGUUGUUAGGGAAGAACAAGUGCGAGAGUAACUGCUCGCACCUUGACGGUACCUAACCAGAAAGCCACGGCUAACUACGUGCCAGCAGCCGCGGUAAUACGUAGGUGGCAAGCGUUGUCCGGAAUUAUUGGGCGUAAAGGGCUCGCAGGCGGUUUCUUAAGUCUGAUGUGAAAGCCCCCGGCUCAACCGGGGAGGGUCAUUGGAAACUGGGAAACUUGAGUGCAGAAGAGGAGAGUGGAAUUCCACGUGUAGCGGUGAAAUGCGUAGAGAUGUGGAGGAACACCAGUGGCGAAGGCGACUCUCUGGUCUGUAACUGACGCUGAGGAGCGAAAGCGUGGGGAGCGAACAGGAUUAGAUACCCUGGUAGUCCACGCCGUAAACGAUGAGUGCUAAGUGUUAGGGGGUUUCCGCCCCUUAGUGCUGCAGCUAACGCAUUAAGCACUCCGCCUGGGGAGUACGGUCGCAAGACUGAAACUCAAAGGAAUUGACGGGGGCCCGCACAAGCGGUGGAGCAUGUGGUUUAAUUCGAAGCAACGCGAAGAACCUUACCAGGUCUUGACAUCCUUCUGACCAACUCCUAGAGAUAGGGGCUUUCCCUUUCGGGGGACAGAGUGACAGUGUGCAUGGCUUGUCGUUCAGCUCGUGUCGUGAGAUGUUGGGUUAAGUUCCCCGCAACGAGCGCAUCCUUGAU